UACAGAGGGGGCAAGCGUUGUUCGGAAUUACUGGGCGUAAAGGGCGCGUAGGCGGCCUGCUAAGUCGAACGUGAAAUCCCUGGGCUCAACCCAGGAACUGCGUCCGAUACUGGUUGGCUUGAAUCCGGGAGAGGGAUGUGGAAUUCUCGGUGUAGCAGUGAAAUGCGUAGAUAUCGAGAGGAACACCAGUGGCGAAGGCGAGUCCCUGGACAACACCUGACACUGAGGCACGAAAGCUAGGGGAUCAAACGGG
This 253-nucleotide ribosomal RNA is filed under the name uncultured bacterium. RNAcentral's name for it is "partial 16S ribosomal RNA". It matches the Rfam family "Bacterial small subunit ribosomal RNA", at positions 524 to 776 of the family's 1533-position model. The record is from RNAcentral.